CUUCUGGCUAAAAUACUAAAUUUAGGAGGUUUUAAGACCACAUAAUUUUUGGUAAUACCAGGAAUUCUCAGCCUAUUUAGAAGUAUCCUAGAGUUUAAAAAUCCCUGAAUUCUGGCUAACUGUUGAGUAAGUCAACAGAACUACCAGGAAAAGAGAGAACUAGAGGGCACGGUUCCUCUUUCCUUUGCGGUGAGUGACUGUGAGGGGAUACGCAGGGGAAAGGGAAGGUGCCAUACAAGAAACUUCCUGGCCAACACUUGAGACUGAAUGUCUAGGCUCCUGUGUCCCCCCUGCCCUCCUGGACUAUGCUGGCGCUUGGCAGAAGGGAAGAAACAGCUGGGGAAACUUUUGGCGUGAGGUAGGGGUGGGGGCUAUCUGAAAUGAUUCCUUUUUAAUUUCUAGGUUGUGGUGCCCCCUACCCUUCCCUACCUCAGAAUUUUAAGCAUAGGCCAUAAUUAUGCAAAUGAAUUGAAAAAUAGAAAGAAAUUUUUAUAUAACAGUGAGCCAGCAACUUGGAUGGUCUUUUAAUGGCUCAUCACUUCAGAAAGGUUGAGAAUCCUUGGUUGAGACUGAUUGACUAGAAAGAGAAUUUAAAAUCUUACAUGAUUUUAAACCCUUUCAUGCCUAGGAGGAAAACGCUGUCCUUCAGAUAGAUAGCUCUUCAGAGGAUCCAGUUUAAACGGAGUUUUUUUUUUAGGUUGUCAUGUAUUCAUCCUAUUUUACCAUAAAGCAUUCCUUAGAGCAGUAGAAUGGGAAAGAACUUCCAGACAGCUUCUAGACCAAAUCCUGGAUUUCAGAUAGCCGGUGGACAUUCGGUCAAUACUUGUUAAGUGAGUGAAUAAAGUCUGCCUAACCUAGGAGAGUCUGCCCACAAAUCCUACACUGUGUCUUAAAAAUAUUGAAUUUGAAUGCCUAAAAUUGUGCAUUUUGCUGUGGUUUCUUACAGGCCCGCUCCUUCCCACCACUUUAUACCCACCCUGUUACCUGUCUGGCCCCUAUAAGCUUUUCUGUUCACAGAGAUUCACUCUGGGAACCUUUCAGGACAUGAUAUGCUCUGUUAGAAACUCGCAGGGAAGGAGUCCACGGCCGUCUCGACAAGCG
This 1101-nucleotide long non-coding RNA is filed under the name Equus caballus (horse). RNAcentral's name for it is "lncRNA (ENSECAG00000050212.1)". The record is from RNAcentral. Lineage: Eukaryota; Metazoa; Chordata; Mammalia; Perissodactyla; Equidae.